Molecule: ribosomal RNA, 253 nt
Filed under: uncultured bacterium
Lineage: Bacteria
Description: partial 16S ribosomal RNA
Rfam family: Bacterial small subunit ribosomal RNA
Source: RNAcentral
GACGAACCGUGCGAACGUUGUUCGGAAUCACUGGGCAUAAAGGGCGCGUAGGCGGCUUGUCAAGUCAGGGGUGAAAUCCGGCAGCUCAACUGUCGAAGUGCCUUUGAUACUGACGAGCUCGAGGGAGGUAGGGGUCGCUGGAACUUCCGGUGGAGCGGUGAAAUGCGUUGAUAUCGGAAGGAACGCCGGUGGCGAAAGCGAGCGACUGGACCUCUUCUGACGCUGAGGCGCGAAAGCUAGGGGAGCAAACAGG